RNAcentral lists this ribosomal RNA (504 nucleotides) under uncultured bacterium. RNAcentral's name for it is "partial 16S ribosomal RNA". It matches the Rfam family "Bacterial small subunit ribosomal RNA", at positions 33 to 541 of the family's 1533-position model. The record is from RNAcentral.
GAUGAACGCUGACAGAAUGCUUAACACAUGCAAGUCGAUGGGGAAGUGGUGCUUGCCCCAUGGCAACCAUGGCGGACGGGUGAGUAACGCGUAAGGGACUUACCUGCAGGACUGGGAUAACAGGGGGAAACUCCUGACAAGACCGGAUAAUGUCAUGGAGCUGCAUGGCUUUAUGAUGAAAGGAGACGCCUGCGGAGAGCCUUGCGUCCUAUUAGCUAGUUGGUGAGGUAAUGGCUCACCAAGGCGAAGAUAGGUAGCCGGCCUGAGAGGGUGGACGGCCAGAAGUGGACGGAGUUAGGGCCGUAACGGAUACGGGAGGGAGGGGGGGGGAAAAUGAGACUGUGGGUGCAAGCCAGAUCUUGAAUUUGUGUGAGCGUAAAGAUGGUUUUCGUAUUGUAAAGUGCUGUCAGAGGAGGGGAAAAAAGGGGCGGAACGUGCAAAGGAAGCGCCGGAUAAAUACGUUCCAGCCGCCGCGGUAAUAGACGGAAGCGCACACGUCUGAAC